AUUGAACGCUGGCGGAAUGCUUUACACAUGCAAGUCGAACGGCAGCACGGACCUCGGUCUGGUGGCGAGUGGCGAACGGGUGAGUAAUGUAUCGGAACGUGCCCAGUCGUGGGGGAUAACGUAGUGAAAAUUACGCUAAUGCCGCAUACGGUCUAUGGAUGAAAGCGGGGGAUCGCAAGACCUCGCGCGAUUGGAGCGGCCGAUAUCAGAUUAGGUAGUUGGUGGGGUAAAGGCCCACCAAGCCAACGAUCUGUAGCUGGUCUGAGAGGACGACCAGCCACACUGGAACUGAGACACGGUCCAGACUCCUACGGGAGGCAGCAGUGGGGAAUUUUGGACAAUGGGCGAAAGCCUGAUCCAGCCAUUCCGCGUGCAGGAUGAAGGCCCUCGGGUUGUAAACUGCUUUUGUACAGAACGAAAAGGUUUCUACUAAUACUAGGAGCUCAUGACGGUACUGUAAGAAUAAGCACCGGCUAACUACGUGCCAGCCGCCGCAGUAA
RNAcentral lists this ribosomal RNA (500 nucleotides) under uncultured bacterium. RNAcentral's name for it is "partial 16S ribosomal RNA". It matches the Rfam family "Bacterial small subunit ribosomal RNA", at positions 30 to 523 of the family's 1533-position model. The record is from RNAcentral.